UAAAAUAUUAGGAUCUAUUAUAUUCUUUUUUCUUUAACUGUCAAUUUUUUGACGUAUCUCAUAUAUUAUAGUAUUACAAUGAAGUGCUCUAAUUUAUCUGUUAAAAAAGGUUUCAUCACUGUUUCCUGUAGUAAUUCUCAAUAAUGUUUUAAAUAGGAUAUAUUAAAUAGGAUAUAUUAUCUAAAGUAAACAGGCUUUUAAGCCUUCAAUUUGCCCCAAUUGACAUGAAGUGCGCAUUUCGAAAAGCCAGUGAACGCAGCGUCAUACGGGCACCCCCACCUCACUCCCCCGGAAACCCCCGGAUGAACCCGCAGGAAGGCGCGCGGCUGAAGAACUCUUGGACAGCUGGAAGGUGGGCGAUGCUUUGAACUUUUCUCUGUAGAAAUGUAAUGUUUAGAUUUGGGAAACCAGAGAUGGGUUUUUAGUAAAAACGUGUUGGCUGUUUAGGAUAAACGUUGAAUGACGAGGCGUUUUUCCAUCUUAAAUUUAAAAGGCCGCAUGAUCACGGUGAAGGCCUCUUCUGUAUAGAGGACGGGGGCGGAAACGUCACGUGGUCUCCGCAGAGACUGGUCAGUUAUGUUGAGACAACAUGCACAAAUAGUUCCUGGACUGAUCUUCUGCUAACUUUGAGGUGGAGAGGCUGUCAGGUUCAUCUGUUUCAGGGUCCUGCAUGCUCUCCCUCCAUGUUGGCUGUAGCAGUGGAUGGAACUUGCUAAAUGUACUGUUUUGAGAGCCAACUGGGCUCAGUGGUUAUUUGGAAGAUGCGUUUUUGACCAAAAACACUGUGGUGACCUCCUUUGUGAACUGCAUUCAUGGGGAAAUAGAAUAUAAUCCUGGAGAUGGGAGAUGUGGAGCAGGUAAGUUUGUGGCAGCACCAGAGUCCUCCAACAAGUUUUCUGGCAAAGUAAAUGAGGAAGGAUCGCAGUCUGCCAUCGUGGAGUUUUGCUGAAAGGCCUGAACAUGUUCCAUCCAUGCAUCCAUCUUCUUCCAUUCAUCAGGAACCAGGUUGUGAGGGCAGCAGUCUAAGCAAAGAUGCCCACACUUCCCUCUCCUCCAGCUCCUCUUGGGGGACCCCGGGGCCAGCUGAGAGGCGUAGUCUCCCCAGCGUGUCCUGGGUCUCCCUUAGGGCCUCUGCCCUUAUUCCUGUUGGAGUUUUUUUCUAACCCCUUAUGUUUCAAAAGUUUGCAAACAUACAUUUUGGUUGAAAUGAUGAGGAUCCGAGGAUGAAAUCAAGAAGGGACAACAUCAGGGAAAGGGACUGAACCGACUGAACAGCUUCCUCUCUUCAGCAGACACAUGUUCCGAGUACAUAUGUGUCAAAUAUUGACAUCCUCGCCGUUCAGGCCGGUGGCUGGAACAAGCGGAAGUCAGAAAAGCUGGAGCAGACGUUACCAGAAUGAUACCUCCAGGACCAAUCAAAAUGACCCAGAGAAAAACACUGAAGGGCUUUGUCUGAGCAUCAGGAAAACAAGAAUCAGCUGUCAUCAACAUAUGGUGGAUAAAGGUGGAAAGAUUUCAUGUAAUCCAUGGACACCAGUGAAGAUCACAAAUCAUUGAAGAAAAAAGGUUCAGAGCACUGUCUAGUGGGUCUAGAUGACCCUACUCCCAAUGGUUAUGGUGCCAUGGUAAAGAACUAAAGGCUCUAUGAUGUCAUGCUGCUGACCAGACUGUGGUUGGUGAAGUCCAGCAGCACUGCAGGUCCUUGAAGUGUGGUUGAAGAGCUCUCCUCCCAGCUUUUGGAAGGUUCUGCCCCACAAAGCAGCACAGAGUCAUUGAUGGAGAGAGAACAUGAGGGACUAAUUGUCUGCUGAGGAGGAGACUUUCUGCAGUUCAAGCCCCAGCUCCACCCCUAAAAAAGGCUUAUAUGAAGGAAAACCUCAUUUCAACUUUGUACCAAUAAAUGACUUUUAAUUGAAAUGAGAGAUUUUUUUCUGAACUGCACCAAUGAAGGGUUUUUCAACCUAAAUUUCAGCAAUUACAUUAUUUUUUACCUCCGUUCAAGUUUCUACAACACUAGCUAAACAUUUCAGUGCUCACACCUGUGCUGAAGACACUUCUCAUUUUAUCUCAAACGUUUGGCCUUUGAUUUGUAUGUCCAACACCUUAGAAUGAAACACUGUCCUAUUAAACUCAUAUAAUAAAUGUGCUAUGCAUCUCCAAAUCCUUUGUCAGGGUACAGACUACAUUUUAAUUGUAGCAAGACUGAAGUAAAAUGUAACAAAAUCUCAAUGAGUUAUCUUAAAUUAGGGGUAAAUGACAUGAGAAAUUAAGAAUAUUAGAAGUGUGGAGUGAUACGUGUCUCAGUAUGUUAGCUGCAGGAAGGGUGCUGUCCUUGACACGUCCCUUUACUCAGACAGGAUGACAGGUAGGGAAGGGGGUAGCCGAUGAUCUGCUCCAGUAUCUUCAGCACAGAAGCUUCUGCUGCUCUUCUUCAGUUUGAUCUGAAAGCCAGACCAUGAUACAGUUGGACUGGCUGAGCGGUAGGUUGCCAGCAGCUUCAGACGUGCUGAUGUGCCUUGUUGAUAACGUCCUGGAUGUUAGGAAACCAAGUUAGAUCAGCUGAGAUGGGGAUGCCCAGGAAAGGGAAGCUGUGAACCUUCCUCUGUGCCUACUAAAGUCCAAGAUGACUUUCAUGGUCUUUUAUUUGCCGAUCAGCCUUACACUAUACAGUUUCCGCACUUGUCUACAAAGUUCACCUCAGUGACCUUUAAUAAGUCUUUGUUAUUGGCAAGUUAAUUACUUAUAUCCAAGACAUGGAGAUGUGGGUCCAGUAUGAGCAGGAUUUGGGAAAUGGCAGUUGCCAAGAACUCACAUGAAGUUUCAAGGUUUUUCCCUUUAUUUGGAGGAAAAAAAGUUUUUGUCCUUUGUUUGUUGUGCAGAAUUGCAAACCUAGAAAGAAAUCAAGUUGAAAGAAUUUAUAUAAAUGUAUUUGCCCUUCUUUUGACCCUUCUACAUCAUGAAUAUUUGGUGGCUGUUGCUUGGCGACUGUGAGAUCUCUCCAUAGGAUUGACAUGGGCUGGGCCUCUCCAUGACCUUGAUAUGAUUGUUCUUCAGCCAUUCCUUGGUUGCCUUGGCUGUAGGUUCUAGGUCACUAACCUGUUGGAAGACCCAUCCAUGACUGAUUUGAAGGGUCCUGGCUUAAGGAUGGUAGGAAGUUCUCACUCAGGAUUUUCCAUUAAUGGCUCCAUCAACGUGGUGACGUAGCUCUGUGCAGAAAAAUAGCCACAAAGCAUAAUGCUUCCACCUCCAUGUUUGACAGUGGGGAAGCUGUUCUUGGGGUCAUAGGUAGCAAUUCUCUUCCUCCAAACCCAAUGGUUGAGUUGAUGCCAAAGAGCUCAGUUUUGAGCCAAACAUUCCAUUAUGCAGAAUAAACUGAUAAAGCAAACCCUAUUUUUCAGUGUGUGAUUUUCAUUUUUUCAUAAAUCUUAGGACAAUUUAGAUGAUAAAAGUAAUAAAUAUAUGAAAACAGUAUAAUACAGUAAAUAUGUAAAUAUUUGAUGUGAUGAACAAUGCUUAUCUGAUUUAGACCCAACAUGGAAUAUUUUAUGACAGACACACAUCAAGUUGUGUUAUUUAAUGCACGUAAUUUAGACACAAAUGAUAGAAAUGUUAGGUUUAUAUGUCAAAGAGGCCAUGUGAAAAUUUUAGUGCAAAUACGCAUGCGUGCGCGCCGUGCACAUUAAGCCACCCCACCCCCACGUAUCCGCGCGCCGGUCGGUGGGUGUUCGGCGUCAAUAAAGGUAAUCUGGUUGUCGCGCGUUCUGCAUCUCUGCACGAGCUAAAGAAGUCUCAAAGAUGAAUGCAGCUGUUGUUAUCACUGUGACGGAAGAGCGGUGCUGAAAAAUACGGCCUCCAUCGAGAUACUGAACGUAACACGACUGCAGCUGACUCUGCCACGAGGCUCGACAACUUCUUGCAUCAACUGUGAUCGCUGUGGCCGCCAAAACAUCCAAAUGUAAGGCGGGCUACAAAGAUUUCAGGCCAAAAGAGAACGCCUCACAUGUGAUGAAGUGUCUGUAUUGGUUGGAAAAACCAGCAGCCCUCCAGUGCUUCAGCCGUCCAACCAUCAACCGUUUCAGACAUCCAUCCUCCCAUCACUUCAGCCCCACAGCCGUCCACCAGUGUGCCAACUCCUGACAUUUUACUAUCCUGGGGGGGGUCAUGGCCUCUACACUGGAUUCCAAAAAAGAGACAAAAACCCCCCCGACCUCAACCCCCACUCUUAGUCAGACAUGUUUAUUUUUUUUUAUUUACAAUAAUAAAUAAUAUACUAUGUACAUUUAUUUUGUUUUACUUUUUUAUACUUAGUUUCCUUAUUUCCUAUAAUAUUUAUUAGUAGUUGUUGUUUGUUGAUGUUAGUUCUUUUUAGCCCCUUUUAUGUUAAAAUAGACGUAAAUGAUCCAGAUGCUGAUAUUCUAAUAUAUAGACAGAUUUAUGAAUGAAUUAUUCUCAACAGAAGUUCAACGCUAUUGUGGUAGCAGUUUGACUGUUUUACUGUAAUCUGUCGUGCCUCACCCACUGUCCAUCCCAUAAAAAAGAACAAUUCUACAUCAUUAACCUUUUUUUAUUUUUAUUCAUAUGGCACAUUCAUAAAUACAAAGUUAUAAAUCAUACCCCCCAUUUUUCUAACUUUAUCAAUGAGUUCAAACAAAACAUGAACACAGUAAGAAACUCUGACAAUAAGAAAGCAUUUAAAACAUUCAAUCUGUGCGUCAGUUUCAAUGUUUUUGUGAAAAAUUUCAUAAUAAUCCCCUGGUUUGUUUCUGUCUUGUUGCUUUUUGGAAUUGUUGUUUUGAAUUGUUACAGUCAAUAAAGUUUGAAUAAAAAACAA
Oryzias latipes (Japanese medaka) is the source of this 4831-nucleotide non-coding RNA. The record is from RefSeq and is a predicted model, not a curated record. Lineage: Eukaryota; Metazoa; Chordata; Actinopteri; Beloniformes; Adrianichthyidae.